CAGUCGCCGCGGUAAUACGAAGGGUGCAAGCGUUAAUCGGAAUUACUGGGCGUAAAGCGUGCGUAGGCGGUGAGUUAAGUCUGCUGUGAAAUCCCCGGGCUCGACCUGGGAAUGGCAGUGGAUACUGGCUCGCUAGAGUGUGUCAGAGGAUGGUGGAAUUCCCGGUGUAGCGGUGAAAUGCGUAGAGAUCGGGAGGAACAUCAGUGGCGAAGGCGGCCAUCUGGGACAACACUGACGCUGAGGCACGAAAGCGUGGGGAGCAAACAGGAUUAGAUACCCCGGUAGUCCCUGUCUCUUAUAC
This 301-nucleotide ribosomal RNA is filed under the name uncultured bacterium. RNAcentral describes it as "partial 16S ribosomal RNA". It matches the Rfam family "Bacterial small subunit ribosomal RNA", at positions 509 to 807 of the family's 1533-position model. The record is from RNAcentral.